UACGUAGGGGGCAAGCGUUAUCCGGAAUUACUGGGUGUAAAGGGAGCGUAGACGGUAAUGUAAGUCUGGAGUGAAAGGCGGGGGCCCAACCCCCGGACUGCUCUGGAAACUAUGUUACUAGAGUGCAGGAGAGGUAAGCGGAAUUCCUAGUGUAGCGGUGAAAUGCAUAGAUAUUAGGAGGAACACCAGUGGCGAAGGCGGCUUACUGGACUGUAACUGACGUUGAGGCUCGAAAGCGUGGGGAGCAAACAGG
This 253-nucleotide ribosomal RNA is filed under the name uncultured bacterium. Its description in RNAcentral is "partial 16S ribosomal RNA". It matches the Rfam family "Bacterial small subunit ribosomal RNA", at positions 524 to 776 of the family's 1533-position model. The record is from RNAcentral.